Molecule: microRNA, 24 nt
Filed under: Sorghum bicolor (sorghum)
Lineage: Eukaryota; Viridiplantae; Streptophyta; Magnoliopsida; Poales; Poaceae
Description: sbi-miR6225-5p
Source: miRBase by way of RNAcentral
AACUAGACUCAAAAGAUUCAUCUC